AGAGUUUGAUUCUGGCUCAGAACGAACGCUGGCAGCGUGGAUUAGGCAUGCAAGUCGAACGAGAAGCCGUGUGUUCAAUCUUUCGAGAGAGAACGUGCGGUGGACAGUGGCGUAAGGGUGAGUAACGCGUGGGUAAUCUGCCUCUAAAUUUGGAAUAACCCUGCGAAAGCGGGGCUAAUACCGGAUGUGGUCUCUCGGCGCAUGUCGAGAUGAUUAAAGGUGGGGAUCUUUCGGGACCUGUCGUUUGGAGAGGAGCCCGCGUACCAUCAGCUUGUUGGUGAGGUUACGGCUCACCAAGGCUUACGGUUAGCUGGUCUGAGAGGAUGGUCAGCCACACUGGGACUGAGACACUGCCCAGACUCCUACGGGAGGCUGCAGUCGAGGAUCGUUUGCAAUGCGCGAAAGCGUGACAAUGCGACGCUGCGUGGAGGAUGAAUGCCUUCGGGUUGUAAACUUCUGUCAUGAGGGAAAAACGAGCGGGCCGUGAAUACCGGUUCGCUGUGAUGGUACCUCAAGAGGAAGCCACGGCUAACUCUGUGCCAGCAGCCGCGGUAAUACAGAGGUGGCAAGCGUUGUUCGGAUUUACUGGGCGUAAAGGGUGCGUAGGUGGUUUCGUAUGUCGGAUGUGAAAGCCCACUGCUCAACGGUGGAAAUGCAUCCGAAACUGCGGAACUUGAGUGCAGGAGGGGAGAGCGGAAUUCUUGGUGUAGCGGUGAAAUGUGUUGAUAUCAAGAAGAACACCGGUGGCGAAGGCGGCUCUCUGGAAUGCUACUGACACUGAUGCACGAAAGCUGGGGGAGCGAACAGGAUUAGAUACCCUGGUAGUCCCAGCCGUAAACGGUGUGCACUUGGUGUGGGGGGAAUUGACCCCCUCCGUGCCGGAGUUAACGCGUUAAGUGCACCGCCUGGGGAGUACGGCCGCAAGGCUAAAACUCAAAGAAAUUGACGGGGGCCCGCACAAGCGGAGGAGCAUGUGGCUCAAUUCGAUGCAACGCGAAGAACCUUACCAGGGCUUGACAUGGGGACCCUUCGGGGGUGUCAGCGAAAGUUGACUUUACCAUCACAGGUGCUGCAUGGCUGUCGUCAGUUCGUGCCGUGAGGUGUUGGGUUAAGUCCCGCAACGAACGCAACCCUUGUGUUUAGUUGCCACCCCCGCUUACCGCGGGGAGCACUCUAAACAGACUGCCCGUGCAAUCGGGAGGAAGGUGGGGACGACGUCAAGUCAGUAUGGCCCUUACGCCCUGGGCUGCACACGUGCUACAAUGGUCGGUACAGAGGGACGCAAGACCGCGAGGUGGAGCAAAUCCUCAAAGCCGGUCCCAGUUCGGAUUGGAGUCUGCAACUCGACUCCAUGAAGUUGGAUUCGCUAGUAACGGCGCAUCAGCUACGGCGCCGUGAAUACGUUCCCGGGCCUUGUACACACCGCCCGUCACAUCAUGAAAGCCGUCUGCACCCGAAGUCGCGGAAGCGUUUACGACGAAGCGCCGAAGGUGUGGGUGGUGAUUGGGAUGAAGUCGUAACAAGGUA
This 1527-nucleotide ribosomal RNA is filed under the name metagenome. RNAcentral describes it as "bacterial SSU rRNA". It matches the Rfam family "Bacterial small subunit ribosomal RNA". The record is from RNAcentral.